This 566-nucleotide ribosomal RNA is filed under the name uncultured bacterium. RNAcentral's name for it is "partial 16S ribosomal RNA". It matches the Rfam family "Bacterial small subunit ribosomal RNA", at positions 355 to 939 of the family's 1533-position model. The record is from RNAcentral.
UGGGGAAUAUUGCACAAUGGGCGAAAGCCUGAUGCAGCAACGCCGCGUGAGUGAUGAAGGCCUUCGGGUUGUAAAGCUCUGUCUUUUGGGACGAUAAUGACGGUACCAAAGGAGGAAGCCACGGCUAACUACGUGCCAGCAGCCGCGGUAAUACGUAGGUGGCAAGCGUUGUCCGGAUUUACUGGGCGUAAAGGAUGCGUAGGCGGAUUUUUAAGUGAGAUGUGAAAACCCUAAGCUUAACUUGGGGACUGCAUUUCAUACUGGAAAUCUAGGGUGCGGGAGAGGAGAAUGGAAUUCCUAGUGUAGCGGUGAAAUGCGUAGAGAUUAGGAAGAACACCAGUGGCGAAAGGCGAUUCUCUGGACCGUAACUGACGCUGAGGCAUGAAAGCGUGGGUAGCAAAACAGGAUUAGAUACCCUGGUAGUCCACGCCGUAAACGAUGAGUACUAGGUGUAGGAGGUAUCGACCCCUUCUGUGCCGCAGUUAACACAAUAAGUACUCCGCCUGGGAAGUACGAUCGCAAGAUUAAAACUUAAAUGAAUUGACGGGGGUCAUAGCUGUUUUCCU